GCAGGGCGAAGAAAAGCAGACUCAGCAGAUCUGGCUUUGGCCUCGGAGGCUGAGGGGCGGAUAUAUUGCCAGCUCUGUCACAUAGGCUGGACCAGUAGAACUUCAACCAUGAAGGCCCCACUGGUCUGCUUCCUGCUCCUGGCGGUUUCUUUUGCUACGGCAACUGAAUGGGAUACUGAUGGCAUUAUUCUCCAAGCAAAGGGACAAGUGGAGCAGCAGAACCCAGAACCACCAACAGAUGACACCUCUGGGAGGAAGCAACAGGGGGGAACUGGUCCUCCCUCAUAUGGCCAGUGCCCACCUACAAUUACAAUUGUUCCCCAGGACUACUACUGCCAGCUGGGCGGCCCCUGCCCAGGGGAUGAAAAAUGCUGCCAGAUUGGGAGAAUGACGAAAUGUAUUCUUCCAAAAGGAGUGCACCACCGUUACUGCCCCAGGCCUGAAGACCAGCCCGUCUACAAUAAGCUCUGUGCAGGAGACUACCAGUGUGGAUGGCAUGAGAAAUGCUGCAGUACGGAAGGUCAUAAGAAGUGCGUUGUGGCUAUGGCAGGUGUCGCUGGCGUUUGCCCCAAGAAGCGUCUUCCACGGGGCCCCACCCCCAUGGAACACAGGUGCCUCAAUGACCGCGAAUGCGACUCUGGGAAGAAGUGUUGCUUGGAGGAGCAUGGCCUGAACUGUGUAUACCCUGAAGGACUCCACCGGAGCCAGAACCAGAACCAGAACCAUAACCACAACCACAACCAGAACCACAACCAGAACCAGGACCAGAACCAGAACCAGGAUCAGACAGUGGCCGAGGUGUUCAAGAAUCAUGCUGGAACAAACACACACACAGAUACACCCACCCACCCACCAAGGGGUGUUAGGAGUGUCUUACCUCCAUAAUAUUUUGUUCCAGAGAGUAAGUCAUCUGUGUAACAAGCUUUGGUUGAAAUUGCUUGAGGUGUUCCAGAGUUAUGCUGGAACACACACACACAAAGAGAGAGAGAGAGAGAGAGAGAGAGAGAGAGAGAGACCCAUCCACACCCACACCCACAUUUGCACAAAAGUGCAACUUGACAUCCAUGGAUGUUUGAGCAGCCCGAGCAGGGGAGAGAGGCGGGCUCUGCUUUCUGGGGAGGGGGGACACCGGGGGUCCUAACAACUCUCCAAAGCCAAUUCUUUGAAGAACAGAGUUGGAAAAAUGUCUCUGGAGAUUUCCAGUCAUCCAGGUCUCAAAGGUACUUUUUUCUUCAAAAAGCAGCUGGAUUGUUUUUUCCAGGAGGAGGAGGAGGAGGGGGGGAGGAGGAGGAGGGGGAGGAGGAGGAGGAGGAGGAGGAGGAGGAGGAGGUGGAGGAGGAAAUGUUUUGCUUCUCACCCAGAGUUAAGAUUGGCUGGAAAGAAGAGAAAGACCAGGGGAGACAGGAUAGCAGCCUUCCAAUAUUUGAGGGGCUGCCAUAGAGAGGAGGAAGGGGAUCAAGCUAUUCUCCAAAGCACCUGAAGGCCAGACAAGGGAUGGAAAGUGAACAAGGAGAGAUUCAACCUGGAAAUAAGGAGGAACUUUCUGACAGGGAGAACAAUCAACCCAUGGAACAGAAGUUGCCUUCAGAGGUUGUGGGAGCUUCAUCACUUGAGACUUUCAAGAAGAGACUGGACUAAAUAGGAAUAGAAUAGAAUAGAAUAGAAUAGAAUAGAAUAGAAUA
Molecule: long non-coding RNA, 1682 nt
Organism: Notechis scutatus (mainland tiger snake)
Lineage: Eukaryota; Metazoa; Chordata; Lepidosauria; Squamata; Elapidae
Source: Ensembl